Molecule: ribosomal RNA, 496 nt
Filed under: uncultured bacterium
Lineage: Bacteria
Description: bacterial SSU rRNA
Rfam family: Bacterial small subunit ribosomal RNA
Source: RNAcentral
CGAGUACGUCACGUAGUUUGAUCAUGGCUCAGAACGACGCUGGCGGCAUGCCUAACACAUGCAAGUCGAACGAGACCCCUGACUUCGGUUGGCGGGUCUAGUGGCGCACGGGUGCGUAACGCGUGGGAAUCUGCCCUUGGGUUCGGAAUAACUCAGAGAAAUUUGAGCUAAUACCGGAUGAUGACGAAAGUCCAAAGAUUUAUCGCCCAGGGAUGAGCCCGCGUAAGAUUAGCUUGUUGGUGGGGUAAUGGCCUACCAAGGCGACGANCUUUAGCUGGUCUGAGAGGACGACCAGUCACACUGGGACUGAGACACGGCCCAGACUCCUACGGGAGGCAGCAGUGGGGAAUUUUGGACAAUGGGGGCAACCCUGAUCCAGCAAUGCCGCGUGUGCGACGAAGGCCUUCGGGUUGUAAAUAUCUUUUAUCUGGGAAGAAACUCCUCUAUUCUUAGAGGCCUGACGGUACCAGAGGAAUAAGCACCGGCUAACUCCGUG